GCUAGGCACUCUGGCAUAUGCCUGUAAUCCCAGCUGCUAGGGAGGCUGAGGCAGGAGGUUCACGAGUUCACAUGGAAAGUAAAGUUUACAAAGCCAGUCUCAGCAAAAGCGAGGCACUAAGCAACUCAGUGAGACCCUGUCUCUA
This 145-nucleotide small RNA is filed under the name Marmota monax (woodchuck). Lineage: Eukaryota; Metazoa; Chordata; Mammalia; Rodentia; Sciuridae. The record is from RNAcentral.